This 85-nucleotide transfer RNA is filed under the name Methanocella sp. Its description in RNAcentral is "tRNA-Leu". It matches the Rfam family "tRNA". Rfam says of the family: Transfer RNA (tRNA) molecules are approximately 80 nucleotides in length. Their secondary structure includes four short double-helical elements and three loops (D, anti-codon, and T loops). Further hydrogen bonds mediate the characteristic L-shaped molecular structure. tRNAs have two regions of fundamental functional importance: the anti-codon, which is responsible for specific mRNA codon recognition, and the 3' end, to which the tRNAs corresponding amino acid is attached (by aminoacyl-tRNA synthetases). tRNAs cope with the degeneracy of the genetic code in two manners: having more than one tRNA (with a specific anti-codon) for a particular amino acid; and 'wobble' base-pairing, i.e. permitting non-standard base-pairing at the 3rd anti-codon position. RNAcentral also lists the same sequence under 1 other name. Lineage: Archaea; Methanobacteriati; Methanobacteriota; Methanomicrobia; Methanocellales; Methanocellaceae. The record is from RNAcentral.
GCGGGGAUUGCCAAGCCAGGUCAAAGGCGUAGGGCUUAGGACCCUAUCUCGUAGGAGUUCGUGCGUUCGAAUCGCACUCCCCGCA